CCGGCACGCGUCGUCGUGUACUCGCCGCCGAAUGCGAAUCACAACAUCAUCCCGGUCUUUGCGCAACAAUCUCGCUGUUGGACGAUCGACGACCCCUCUGCGUCUCGCGCGCACGAGAGAGACUCGUCUCGUUUCCGUUGAGGACCUCAGAGCAGGCGAGAUCACCCGCUGAAUUUAAGCAUAUUAUUAAGCGGAGGAAAAGAAACUAACUAGGAUUUCCUUAGUAACGGCGAGUGAACAGGAAAGAGCCCAGCACCGAAUCUCGCGGUUCCGCCGCAGGGAAAUGUGGUGUUUGGGAGGAUCCGUUUAUCCCGAGGUGUCGCGUCGCGUCCAAGUCCAUCUUGAAUGGGGCCACUUACCCGCAGAGGGUGCCAGGCCCGUAGCGACCGGUGCGCGUCUCGGGAGGAUUCCUCCUUAGAGUCGGGUUGCUUGAGAGUGCAGCUCUAAGUGGGUGGUAAACUUCAUCUAAGGCUAAAUACGACCACGAGACCGAUAGCGAACAAGUACCGUGAGGGAAAGUUGAAAAGAACUUUGAAGAGAGAGUUCAAGAGUACGUGAAACCGUUCAGGGGUAAACCUAAGAAACCCAAAAGAUCGAACGAGGAGAUUCAUCGUCAGCGACGCUGGCUUCGCGUCGGGGGGCGAUGUCCCGCGGGGUCCUCGCGGCCCGUCCAGCGCGGACACGCUGCCGUGCGUCGAUGUCCGGCGUUCGUCGUCGUGCACUUCUCCCCUAGUAGAACGUCGCGACCCGCUGGGUGUCGGUCUACGGCCCGGGUGCGGUGACUGACGCGUCGCCGGUAAUACGGCACGCGUCAAACCCUCGGUCGCCCGGCCGGCUGCCCGGCGGUACACGCAAGGUAUCAGGCCGCAGCUCGCGCGCGCUCCGGCGCGCGCGUCUCUGCGUCGAGACCGUCGCAAGCGCGCGCCACGGUACACGGAGGCUAACGGACCUAGCGCCUUCACCGGUCCUGGCCCGCUGUUGGUCGUACGGUUAACCUUCGACUGGCCUACGAACGUUCCCCGCCUCGCGCGGGGGACCGAUACCGGUCGGCGACGCUACUGCUUUGGGGACUCUUAGGACCCGUCUUGAAACACGGACCAAGGAGUCUAACAUGUACGCGAGUCAUUGGGACUUUGCGAUACCUAAAGGCGUAAUGAAAGUAAAGGUCGGUCCUGGUUGCCGACCGAGGGAGGAUGGGCCGCGUCGCUAUGCGGCUCCGCACUCCCGGGGCGUCUCGUUCUCAUCGCGAGAAGAGGCGCACCCAGAGCGUACACGUUGGGACCCGAAAGAUGGUGAACUAUGCCUGGUCAGGACGAAGUCAGGGGAAACCCUGAUGGAGGUCCGUAGCGAUUCUGACGUGCAAAUCGAUCGUCGGAACAGGGUAUAGGGGCGAAAGACUAAUCGAACCAUCUAGUAGCUGGUUCCCUCCGAAGUUUCCCUCAGGAUAGCUGGCACUCGGCCGUCCCGAACGGAACGCGCGCGAGUCUCAUCUGGUAAAGCGAAUGAUUAGAGGCCUUGGGGCCGAAACGACCUCAACCUAUUCUCAAACUUUAAAUGGGUGAGAUCUCUGACUUUCUUGAACUAUGAAGUCACGAGUAUCUCGGAUCAGAGUGCCAAGUGGGCCAUUUCUGGUAAGCAGAACUGGCGCUGUGGGAACCAAACGCAGAGUUAAGGCGAUACGAGUAUCUCGGAUCAGAGUGCCAAGUGGGCCAUUUCUGGUAAGCAGAACUGGCGCUGUGGGAUGAACCAAACGCAGAGUUAAGGCGACCAACUCGACGCUCAUGGGACACCAUGAAAGGCGUCGGUUGCUUAAGACAGCAGGACGGUGGCCAUGGAAGUCGGAAUCCGCUAAGGAGUGUGUAACAACUCACCUGCCGAAGCAACUAGCCCUGAAAAUGGAUGGCGCUGAAGCGUCGAGCCUAUACUCUGCCGUCAGCGGCAAGUGGGGCGGCCGCGUGCGCGUCGCGAGGCGCGUACACGCCGCCACGAGGCCCUGACGAGUAGGAGGGUCGCGGCGUUGUGCGUAGAAGGGUCUGCGCGCGAGCCUGCCUGGAGCCGCCGUCGGUGCAGAUCUUGGUGGUAGUAGCAAAUACUUCAGCGAGGCCCUGGAGGACUGACGUGGAGAAGGAUUUCGUGUGAACAGCCGUUGCACACGAGUCAGUCAAUCCUAAGCCCUAGGAGAAAUCUUAUGUCAAUAACGGUGUACGAUACUCUAGUGUCGCGUUCUCGCAGCUCUGCAAAUAGAGAGAUAGAGAGAGGAGAGAGACACACGCCCGUCGGGCGAAAGGGAAUCCGGUUCCUAUUCCGGAACCCGGCAGCGGAACCGCAUACAAUUCGGGCCCUCGUAAGAGUGUUCGUCGGGGUAACCCAAAAUGACCUGGAGACGCCGUCGGGAGAUCCGGGAAGAGUUUUCUUUUCUAGUAUAAGCGUUCGAGUUCCCUGGAAACCUCUAGCAGGGAGAUAGGGUUUGGAACGCGAAGAGCACCGCAGUUGCGGCGGUGUCGGGACCUUCCCCUCGGACCUUGAAAAUCCAGGAGAGGGCCACGUGGAGGUGUCGCGCCGGCUCGUACCCAUAUCCGCAGCAGGUCUCCAAGGUAAAGAGCCUCUAGUCGAUAGACUAAUGUAGGUAAGGGAAGUCGGCAAAUUGGAUUCGUAACUUCGGAAUAAGGAUUGGCUCUGAGGAGCGGGGCGUGUCGGGCUUGGUCGGGAAGCGGGUCUGGCUGACGUGCCGGGCCUGGGCGAGGUGAACGCUCGGGUGUUCUCGCGCCGGUUCCGGGAUCCGAGCUCGGUCCCGUGCCUUGGCCUCCCGCGGAUCUUCCUUGCUGCGAGGCUUCCGUAGCGGCGCGAGCCGUCGUGGGCGUCCUCUUCGGCCGCCAUUCAACGCUCAGCUCAGAACUGGCACGGACUAGGGGAAUCCGACUGUCUAAUUAAAACAAAGCAUUGCGAUGGCCCUCGCGGGGGUUGACGCAAUGUGAUUUCUGCCCAGUGCUCUGAAUGUCAACGUGAAGAAAUUCAAGCAAGCGCGGGUAAACGGCGGGAGUAACUAUGACUCUCUUAAAGGGAGUAACUAUGACUCUCUUAACAGACCAUCUUCAAAGAGUCAUUGUAGGGACGAUGACGCGCAAUACACAGCCUCUCUCGUCCAAGUCACAUGAGUUACCUCCACGUUGGUGCUCCUAGUAACGUCCUCGGACGGCUAAAUACUCAUGUGGCGAACUUAGGGUCUACGGGGCUGCCAACCCCCUGACUCUUAUUAGCUGGCCCAAUAAGAAGAAAUAUGCCUCGGAUAAGU
Non-coding RNA from Trachymyrmex cornetzi, 3292 nucleotides. The record is from Rfam. NCBI's taxonomy places the organism in Eukaryota, Metazoa, Arthropoda, Insecta, Hymenoptera, Formicidae.